Solanum lycopersicum (tomato) is the source of this 2591-nucleotide long non-coding RNA. RefSeq lists it as uncharacterized. NCBI's taxonomy places the organism in Eukaryota, Viridiplantae, Streptophyta, Magnoliopsida, Solanales, Solanaceae. The record is from RefSeq and is a predicted model, not a curated record.
UCAGGCCCGAGUUCGAGCAUCUGCGUGCUAGUAUUCUUAACAGGGAAAAACUCAGGCCCAAGUAUCUCGCUAUACAUGGAUUUUUUUCUUGAAAAACAAAAAAGGCACCAAAUAUUGUAAAAAAGUUUUAUAACCUUAUAGAAACCCAAUUUGAGAAAAAGAUCAAGAUUUUUCGUUCAGAUUCAGGAAGGGAAUAUGUAAAUACAAACCUAACUAUCUUUUUUUUAGGAAAAAGGCAUAAUUCAUCAGCAUUCUUGUCCGUAUACACCGGAACAAAAUGGUGUGGUGGAACGUAAGAAUAGACAUGUUGUUGUAACUGCCUUAGCCCUUCUUGAUACUUCAAAUGUUCCAAAAAUAUUUUGGGUUGAAGCAAUCCAAACAUCUAUUUAUCUCAUAAAUACACAAUCAUCCUCGAUAAUGAAACAAAAUUGUCCUUAUUUUAUUAUUUUCAAAAAAUUGUCGGACUAUUCACAUCUUAAAGUAUUUGGUUGUGUGUGCUUUGUUCUUCUUCCGGAUCAUGAACGUCAUAAAUUAUCUUCCAAAGCCAUUAAAUGUGUUUUCUUAGAAUACAAUGAUAUUCAAAAGGGUAUUUAUGUUAUGAUUCAACACGUCGUUCUUAUGAAUCUCACGACAUGUUAUCUUCUUUGAGAAUUUUUGUAUUUAUACUAACAAAGACUCACAAAUCUCUACUGUCUUUCUUGAAUAAAUUUUCUUCUCAUGAUGUUGCUUGCCAUAGCCACCUUCCUGCUGGUCCUUCGUUGACCAUUCUCUCUACCAAAUCAGGUACCACUUAUAACUUUGAUCUUUUUUAUUUUUGAUACUGAUACGACUUCGGCUAAUACUAAAUUUUUACCUCACCCACAUACAAACAAUCACCUUCUCCCACUCGUCAAAAUAACAUUGAUCCAAUUAGACGAUCAUCUCGGCAUGCUCCCCUCCAGAACGACGAUAUGGGUACUCAACAGGCUAGUGGUGAGAAAUGUUUGGAGGAUGCAAUGCAUGAAGAAUUAGUUGCCCUUGAGGAGAAUGAUACAUAGGAUAUGGUGGAUAGACCAACAAAUGCAAUAGUUAUUGGAAGUAGAUGGGUGUACUCAAUCAAGAUGAAAGAUGAUGGUUCCAUAGAUCGAUACAAAUCAAGAUUAGUAGAUCAAGGAUACAAGGAGGAAUAUGGAAUCGACUCUGAUGAAACAUUUGCUACAGUAGCUAAGAUAAUGACCGUACAUAUAUUGCUUGCCUUAGCAUCAAUCAAAGGUUGGAAGUUACAUCAACUGGACAUCAAGAAUGCCUUCCUGCAUGGAAACUUGCAAGAAGUGGUCUACAUGAAUCCACUACCAAGUUAUGAAUAUAUUAAACUAAAUCAGGUGUGUCGUCUUAAAAAAUCUCUCUAUGGAUUAAAGCAGGCUCUUCGCUCUUGGUUUGAAAAAUUCUGACUACCUCAGGUAUUACUAUUCUCCUUCUUUAUGUGGAUGACAUGAUUACCACAGGAAACGACGAAGUUGGAAUCUCUCAUUUGAAAGAUUUGUUACACUCCUCGUUCAAAAUGAAGGACUUGGGGAAGCUAACAUAUUUUUUGGGUUUGGAGGUAAGUUAUGGAAAGGAAGGCAUACGAUUAAGUCAACAAAAGUAUGCAGAAGAUCUCGUUCGAUUAGCCAAUCUUAUUGAUCGUAAGAAGGUUCAUACUCUAGUGGAAGCGAAUACGAAAUAUAAAAAGGAGAAAGGAAAGCUUUCCAGAUAUCAGACCUUGUAUAGACGUCUAGUUAGAUCACUUAUAUAUUUUUUACUAUGAGUCGUCCUAACAUCUUUUAUACAGUACAGGUGUUAAGCCAAUUUAUUACCGAGCCUUACAAGAUGCACUACACUGCUUUGCUCGGGGUUAUUAGAUACAUAAAAUGUACUGUGAAUCGGAGUCUCUUAUUCCCAUCAUCAUCAUCGUUGGACAUGGUGGGAUACGCUGACGCAAAUUGGGCAGGAUGCCCUAAUUCAAGACGAUCCACUACAGGCUGGUGCAUGAUGCUUGGAUCGUGCAUGAUUUCUUGGAAGUGCAAGAAACAAUCUCAAAAAUCAAAGUCAUCCACAGAGGCAGAAUAUAGAAGUAUGUUUGCUGCAUGCUCUGAAAUCAUUUGGCUGCGGAGGUUGCUAUCAGAACUUGGCAUCGAAAUGAAAGUAUCAAUCACAUUAUACGGAGACAACACUAGUGCAAUAAGAAUCGCGACAAACCCCGUUCAUCAUGAAAACACCAAGCACAUCGAUGUAGAUUGUCACUACAUUAGAGAACUGGUUGAAGAUCAGAGUAUUAGCCUGAAGUAUAUAUCCUCUAAUGAUCAACUGGCUGACUAUUUACAAAGGUUAUAUCAAGAAGUAGACACAAAUAUUUGCUAUCCAAACUCAUGUUUUGUGAUACACAACAUUAGUUUGAGGGAGGGUGUUGAUUAUACCUUAUUUAUCGAUACUAAAUCAGGGAUCUCUCAUUAUGGCUAAUGGUAAUUAGCUUGAAAUCAGUAGAUAAUUAGGACUCUAUUACUUGUAUAAAUAUCUUGUAAAUCCUACACUUUUAUAAUUGAAUAAGCAGAUCACAAUUCUUUUAUCUCUAA